CCAUCCAACUCCACCGCCAGCUACCUUCUCCGGCUUCGUCGAGCAAGGGAAGGAUUUGAAGUAACAGCAAGAGUAGGUACCCCGGUCAACUCCUCCUCCUCCUCCUCCUUUUCCUCCUCGCAAAGCGUUGUGAUUCUCGAGAUUAGUAUGCUUAUAUUUCAUGGUUUAAUCAGGGUGGUGGUUUUAUUAGUAGGUUACAGAAGGAUUUGAAGUUUGCUUGUUUUGUGAUUUUUAGAAGCAUGUUAGAUUUAUCACAGUGCCUUGUGAUAUAAGUCAAAUUUGUUAAUGAAAAUCUACAGUUUGAAUGCAUUGGUUGCGUUGGGAUUUUUCAUACUGCUGGCAUCCUAUGGCCUCGGUCAUCGUCUAUUCUUGUCUAUGCAGCCUCUACCUCCAUCACUGCCCC
This 403-nucleotide long non-coding RNA is filed under the name Phoenix dactylifera (date palm). RNAcentral describes it as "long non-coding RNA (PDAC_LNC007146)". The record is from RNAcentral. Lineage: Eukaryota; Viridiplantae; Streptophyta; Magnoliopsida; Arecales; Arecaceae.